UACGUAGGGUGCAAGCGUUUAAUCGGAAUUACUGGGCGUAAAGCGCGUGUAGGCGGUUCGGUAAGUCCGCUGUGAAAGUCGGGGGCUCAACCCUCGGAUGCCGGUGGAUACUGUCGAGCUUGAGUACGGAAGAGGCGAGUGGAAUUCCUGGUGUAGCGGUGAAAUGCGCAGAUAUCAGGAGGAACACCAAUUGCGAAGGCAGCUCGCUGGGACGUUACUGACGCUGAGACGCGAAAGCGUGGGGGAGCAAACAGG
Molecule: ribosomal RNA, 255 nt
Filed under: uncultured bacterium
Lineage: Bacteria
Description: partial 16S ribosomal RNA
Rfam family: Bacterial small subunit ribosomal RNA
Source: RNAcentral